AGUAUUGUGCAGUGGCAGUAUCAUAGCCAAUGAGGUUAAUCUGAGGUGUGAUUAUUGCUAGUUGAAUCUUUUCUUCAGCGUGUGCAGUAGGUAAGGGUGUAAUCUAAUUGCAUACUAAGACAAACAUAGUAGAUGG
This is a small nuclear RNA of Trachemys scripta elegans, 136 nucleotides long. RefSeq annotates it as U4 spliceosomal RNA. The transcript has a single exon. Lineage: Eukaryota; Metazoa; Chordata; Testudines; Emydidae. The record is from RefSeq and is a predicted model, not a curated record.